GGAGGGGGAGGACCUGCGUGGGUCUCCAUGCAGCCUCCGGAGCGCAGGGCGGGGCGACGCCGCAGCAGCAGCAGCUUCAUCGCCGCUGACAGACACCGACCUCCUGCUCGUCUCCAGGCCGCGGCAUGGACGCCGGAGCCCGGCCUGUUCCCUUUGAAAUCACAGCGGGUCCGGUUUGAGCGGUACUGAAGAUGAUGAUAAUAGCGAAGAUGAAGAUGAUGGUGACGGUGUGCGGCUAGAGCAGCGGAGCGGAAACAAACCGCAAACUGAAUCCGUGCGGGAGCACCGCGCUCCGAUGCUGCAGAAAAAUCGCCAUUGUUUGGAUGCGCAGCAGACUGAGAGGAAAAACCCAGACUUUACGGAGAGUGUUUGACCGACAGACACCAUGCUUUCACCGCUGCUUCUAACGGUGUCUCUGCACUGGUUUACCCAGAUCUCGGCGUUCCAGGCGUCCGUAAACGAUGGCGGUUUGAUGGCGGUGACGCUGGAGCGCUCGGACCUGCAGGAGAACGCCACGGCGUACGCUGCUCAGAUCUCCGGAGAACCUCGACCGCUCCUGCUUCAGUUCGUGAACACCAGCCAGCCUCUGCUGUUCAACGCGUCGUUUCACGGCCUCUGCUACACUGUGGGACUACUGGUGAAACUGGGACAGACCUGGUCCAGGCCAGUCAAGACCGUGUCUGUGCUCACAAAGCCUCUUCCUGUCCUCAGAGCUCGCAUAUCGGACUACAAGGAGUCUCCAGAGACCGGCGUGGUGUUUGACAUCGAGCCUCCGGCCGGGAACGUCUUCAGCAGAGUCAACAUCAGCUACACCGAAGGACAAGAACGGCGCUCCAUGCUUUAUAAAGAUUUCUACAAGGGGAAGACGGUGUUCAAGCACUGGUUACCGGGGGUGUGUUACCGUAACAUCACCUUCCAGCUGAUCUCCGAGGCCACAGUGUACCAGACGGCCCUGGUGACACACAGUGACGUCACACACACACCUCUACAUCACAGGACAGUGCCCUACCCCCCCCUCAACAUUUCCCGUAAGAUCGUCCACCUGAGCCAGAGGGCGGUGCCGGGUGAAGCCUCUGACGUCGUGCCUCCCGAGGGGGGCGAGGAGAGCCGGCGAGCCUCCCGGCGAGCCCGGGACGUCCCUCUGAUGGAGGAGGAGGAGGAGGAGGAGAACACGUCUGAGGAGGGAGCUGCCACUCAGGUUCCCUUCAACCCAACGCACAACCUGACAGGCGCCGACGCCGUGAGAACCAAUCGGACGCCGGAGGCUGAGACUCGGAGCUACUGGCUGGACCCGACCGACCCGUCUCCUGCCGACGGGGAGGACGAUUUCGUCAACGCCGUGGUGUCGGAGUACGAGGACUCCAACGAGCCGGGUUCAGCCAUGAGCCUCCCCUCCGAAGCCUCCGUCCUGCCCACUCAGCUGCCCCCCAUCCUGCUGGAGCUGCGCUGGCUGCCGCCCAGACCCCCCACCAGCUACGACGGCUUCAACAUCUACAUCUACAGAGACGGUAACUCUACAGAAACGGCCACCGUGGAUGAAAACACUCACGAGUUCUUCACCGAGUUAACGGAGCCGGGGACGUACCGAGUCCAGGUCGCCACGCUCAGCUCGUCUGGAGACUGCGAGGCCCGAGAGAGCAGCGCCGACACCGGCUUCACCUUCUACCUCAGUCCUGGCGGCGAGCUGUUGGAGGAUCUCAGGGAGCGUCCUCAGGCCGUCAGCGUCAGACUGCUGGACUCCAGCACCGCCGCCGUCUCCUGGGCUCAGUCCUCCGAGAACCACAACGGCAGCCUGGUGUCGGUGGUCUCCACGACCUGCCUCAGGCCGAGCCUCAGCCAGAGGAUGGAGAGCACGUACUGCAGCGAGGAAAACUCCACGAGUGACAUCAUCACUAACCUGACCCCCGGGGCUCAGUACAGGGUCGUGGUCUACCACACUAACGGACCCCUGAUCAGUCCUCCGUCCGAACCCGUCAUCAUCGAUAUCGGUGAGCAACGCAUCAGCUGGUUCGUGCAGAGCCGGCGGAUUACAGAGAGCAGUGUGAUGGCGGCCCGGGAUGCACGUAAGCCCACAGGUGUGCGUGAGCUGGCUGUUUACCCUCUGAGUCCGACAGCAGUGAUCCUGAGCUGGCAGCGUCCGUAUCACGUCUCCUUCAGGAAGUACGUCCUGCAGACCUUCUUCUUCAACCCCGUCACCCUGGCCUCAGAGUGGACCACCUACUACGAGAUCGCCACCACCGCCUCCAUCAUCGCCUCAGUGAGAGUCACGGAUUUGCUGCCGGCUUGGUAUUAUAAUUUCCGUGUUUCCAUGGUAACGUGGGGCGACCCGCCGCUCAGCUGCUGCGACAGCUCCACGGUCAGCUUUGUAACAGCUCCUGAGGCUCCUCACAUCUCCUCGGUGGAUUACUCUCACGGUGUCCUGUACGUUCGCUGGACGUACGGCGAGCUCUUCAUCGACCUAUCGCACUCCAGGAUGCUGCACUGGCAGGUGGUGGCUGUCGGCAAGAAAGGACCAGAGAGGAGCUACUCCAUCGACGUGACUCGUAACGCGAUGCGGGCCAGCCUCCCUCUGCCUCCAGGAGACAUCUACAACCUGACGGUGACGGCCUGCACUGAACGCAGCAGGAACACCUCCGUGCCAAACAUCAUCAAACUGGAGCCGGCUCCUCCCAGGUCUCUGUUCGCUGUGAACGCCACUCACUCGUCCGUCACGCUGCUGUGGACCGAGGAGGGAGUGGUGGACUACUACCAGGUCCUCUGUAAACCCAGCAGACCCAGCAAGGAGCUCAAGGCCCGGGAGCCUCAGACGGCCAGCUCUCACGUGGUGACGGUGUCUGGUUUGACGCCCUCGUCCACCUACAACUGCACCGUCACCAGCUUCAGCUACAGCACGCCCAGCAAGCCCGCACACAUCACCAUCAGCACCGUCGCUAAAGAGAUGAACCCGAGCGUGGCAGCGAUCUCGGCUCUGGCCGUCCUCAGCAUCCUGCUCAUCAGCCUGCUGGUUCUGUUUCUGCUCGUCCUCCGCAAGAAGCACCUGCAGAUGACCAGAGAAUGCGGCGCAGAGACUUUCGUCAAUUUCGCUUCAUUUGAAAGAGACGGAAAGCUUCCUUAUAACUGGCGAAGAAGCCUCUUUGCCUUCCUUACCCUACUGCCAUCCUGCCUUUGGACUGACUAUCUUUUGGCUUUUUAUAUUAAUCCUUGGAGCAAGACAGCUUUAAAGAAACGGAAGCUAACAAGUCCCGUGCAGCUGGACGACUUUGACGCCUACUUCAAAGACAUGAGCAAAGACUCGGCCUACAAGUUCUCGCUGCAGUUUGAGGAGCUGAAGAGCGUCGGUCUGGAUCUUUCCCACGAUGCAGCAGACCUGCCCGUCAACAGGCCGAAGAACAGAUACACCAACAUCCUCCCCUACGACUUCAGUCGGGUGAAGCUGAUCUCGAUGCACAACGACGAAGGUUCAGACUACAUCAACGCCAACUACAUCCCUGGAUACAAACACGCUCAAGAGUACAUCGCCACUCAGGGUCCGCUGCCUGAAACUCGGAAUGAUUUCUGGAAGAUGGUUCUGCAGCAGAAAUCUCCGAUCGUCGUCAUGCUGACUCAGUGCAACGAGCGACGGAGGGUGAAGUGUGAUCACUACUGGCCGUUCACAGAAGAACCUGUGAUGUACGGAGAGAUCAGUGUGGAGAUGCUCUCUGAGACCGAGUCUCCAGAGUGGACCAUCAGGAAGUUCAGACUGGGAUAUGCCGAUGAGACUCAGGACGUCCUCCACCUGAACUACACCUCGUGGCCGGAUCACGGCGUCCCCACGGUCAACGCCAUCGAAAGCAUCCUGCAGUUCGUCCACAUUGUCCGUCAGCAGGCCAACAGGACCAAAGACCCGGUCAUAGUGCACUGCAGUGCUGGAGUCGGCAGGACGGGGACCUUCAUCGCUCUGGAUCGUCUGAUGCAGCACAUCAGAGAGCACGAGUUCGCAGACAUCCUGGGGAUGGUGUCUGAGAUGCGUUCACACCGGCUGUCGAUGGUCCAGACUGAGGUGAAAACAUUCAGGGCGUUUCCAAACCUGGAGUUUGUUUGCUCUGGUCUGAAUCAGAGGAAGACUUGGUUCAGUUCCUUAAAUGAAGUGAACCAAAAUGCAUCAGUAAAAGCCGGGAGAGAGAGAGAAAGUGUCUUUCUGCUAGCUGUUAGCAACUGUUAAGCUCAAACUUAGAGUUCGCCUUGUAGUCGGGUCAGAUCACAACUGAACCAGAGUCUGAUCCAGCCCGACUAAACAACGCAGGUUUGAACCCGAAACCGUUUCUCACGUGUCGUCUGUGAUUGGUCAAAUAGUGAGUUCAGCCCACAGAUAUCAGUGUUUCUUCUCUGUAGGAGCAGUAUGUGUUCAUCCAUCAGUGCGUCCUGUUGAUGUGGCAGAAGAAGAAGCAGCAGUCCAUCACCUCCGAUGUCAUCUACGAGAAUGCCAGCAAGACAUAAAGAUGGCGGCUCCUCCAGACGCUGCGAACACACCCAACCUCCUGUGCUUCAGGCAUCCAUUCUCUGCAGAAGAAGAUCCGCUUCAUCAUCAGUAUCAAAAACAAAACAGCAGAACAUCUCGACGACACAAGAGGAAGAAUCCAGUUUUUUGUUUGAAUUGGUGUUAAAGCAUGGGAUGGAGUUUUGCCUUAAGGAGCCUUCACUGACUGACCAACAUGUUGAACCACAACCCUGCCCUCUGAACUGGACUGAUAUCACGUCAACGUGGGGUCGGAGGAGCGUUAACGAGCUCCGUCCUCGUUCUGACGACGCGAGGCGGCGAGUCGGUGGAGCCGAGUCAGCAGUUUUUCCAUUUUAUUUGUUUUUUUAAUCUCAGGAGUAGCUGAAAAACCAGCAAGCACACUGGCCUCUUCCUCCGCUUCAAAAGUAAUUUAUCAUCCGUUAGUUUUAGUUUUUUGCAUCGUUACAAGUGUUCGCCUUCCCGCAGUGUGCAGCUUUCCUGGCUUUUUGCGACACCGGAGUCGUAGGCGGUAGAUUGCGACGUCACACUGCCAAACAUGGGACUACAACAUGUCGAUUAUUAAAAACGCCGACUGCUCUAACGUGCAAACUAACUGCCAGGACUGCUGCACAGAUAAUAUUCACGAAAGAACCCAGCAAGCAUUCGACGGACUUCUGGAGACUGAGCACAAAAUUUAACGUUUCGGGAUGUUGAAGCUGAUAACUGAUCAGUGAGGUGCUGUUUUUUAAUUGAACGCUAAAAACAAACCGGCAUCGUGGUUGGACGUAAUGUUUCGGUCCCGGUUGAAGACGCCACCGUCGUAAAACUUCGGUAAAAAUGUGUAUUAGCUUUUGCUGCAGUUUGAACGAACUUAACGUUCCAGAUUUCAGCUUCACAAACUGUUUUAUCGGGAAAGUCUUUUGGUAUCGACUUCGUCCGUGAAGUUAAACGUCUGAAUGUUUGCUGGGUCUGCACGAGAACUGAGGGGAACGAACGCCUUUCUGUGGAAACACGAGUGCCUCACGCUGCCGGGUCAGUUUAGACGCUAGAGCCUGUGGUUGUAGAGCUGUAGUUUGUAUUUGCACUGAGGCCUCGGAGCUGCCUGACCUGCUGACAGAAGAAGAGUUUCUGCUGCUUCUGACUGUGGAGGACUGACUGUACAGCCGUGUCGAUCGGUAUUCGUCCCGUCCCGCGAGCUCUUUCUAACGAAGGAUCUCGCUCUGAAGACGUAGCUUAACUUUAGACUAGCGGAGAGGUUUGUCAUCUCAUCGGCUGCAACAACCAGCAGAGAAAUGGAUCGUAUCUGAAGACAGAGGAGAGACUAUUACUCAGACCGUUGAACUGCCAAAACCACCAAGACAUUAUAUCAAGACCUGAUAAGAGUUUCCUUCAAGUUGCUGAAAAAUGACAACAACAUAUCUCCAGCGCCGGCCCCAGCCACACCAACUUAAAGCUGCACCUAGAAAACAAUAAGAAAAUGAUAAGUUUCGGGUUUUAAAACCCCAAAUUUGAUAUUUCUCACUUACAUUUUCUACCUUAAUCCCAACAUUUGGUGUAAUUACCACAUAAACCAAAAUACAUGUCUCCUGUAUUGGAAAAAUGUUGGCAUUGCACGCUUAUGAUUCUUGUUUUAAACCCUAAAUUGUGUUUACUCCCAAAAAAUGGUUACAGUCCCAGUAUUCGGGAAACGUAAGCUUUUGGUUUUGCCCAAACACCAACAUUUUGUAACGUGCUGCCUAAAUUUGUUAAUGAUUGGGGUUAGUUUGGGGGCAGAACCAUAAAAAUGCUAGGAGGACAUUUUGGAAUUUGAGUGUUAACGUUAAAAACUUAGUUUGGUUGUUUUGGGGCCUGAAGCUUUGAUGGUGGCUCAGGCCGGCUGCAUAUCUCUGUCUUAAACACACGACUGCUGUACAGAAAAUAGUUACGAAGCCAUUUUCUGAAGCGUCUGUUAGUUAUCAGAUCAACUUAUUUACAGUAAUUUAGUUAGUUAAUUUUCCAUCUUUCUACUGAACAUUUGACUUGAAGGGCAACAGAAAACAUUUCUCACCGCGUUGACGACUGUAGAGAAGAUUUACUGAACAGACGAGAGCGGCCGACCUCUUUCAGAGUUUUACACUCCAUUCAGGAAGUGCAGGGUGUCGUCAAAAUAAGAGCCAAGAGUUGAGCGGCUUUCCUUUGUGGUGCGCACGCAUUUAAAUUUACUGCCAACAAUCCUCUUCCAAGUAAAGUCACAACACUCGGCCUGUUUUACGUCAGCAUUGUUGUAGAAACGUUUUUGUGCAUCGUGUUAAUACUCGAAGUAUAAAUACAGAUUAUCAGUGUUUUUUUUUUUAAUAAGCUAAGUUUAGUUUUAAUUAACUAAAUACUUUAAUCUGGUCUUAAACAGAAUCAAACAUAUAUAAAAAAAAGUUUGAUCAGAACAAAUUUUAAAUCCCUAAGAAUCCAAACAAGUGGAAUUACAGAGUUUCCCCUCGGGGAUCAAUAAAGUAUUUCUGAUUCUUUCUGAAAUAAUUAAAGAAAAACCUAUUUUUGACUGUUUGAAAAAAUGUUUUUUGAGUAAAUCAAUGACACUAAAGUGUCGACUUGUAAAGUGAUUCGUCCAAAUCAGGCAUCAACUUUCUGUAACGAACUAGUGCGUUACGUUAAAACCGGAACAGUUGGUACCUGCACCACAAAUAGCCAAUUUUGGCAUAAUUCCCAAAUUUUAGUAAAAUUUGCUUCACUCACAAAAGUUAAUGUAGCUCCUGAAAUUUGUUCUCCUGGAAAAAAAUUUGGUAAUGAGCCCCAAAUACUAAAUUAUAAAUUAAUUCAUUGUUUUGACCACUUUGUAACUAAGUUGUUAAAAAAAAAAAAAGUCAAAUCAAUGACUGUGUGUAGAAAAGCCAGCUGUUAUAAAUCUGUUAUAAACCCAAAAUAUCGUAAGUUCCCCGAAGAUUUGUCCAAACAUUUGGUAUAGCAAUCCCAAAUAUUUCAUUCAAUGAAAAGCCAUUUGACACGUCAGUGUUGAUUUGUAAAAUAAUUUGUCGUUGUGGCCCUUUGGUUUAAACUUGGGACCCCAAAUCCUCCCUAAAGCUCUGAUUUAAAAAAUGAUCGAUAAGGAAAAGCUGCUUCUGACUGCUGUUUGUUGUUUUGACCUCACCUUGCGUCCAAUUCGUCAAAGAAAUGAAUGAAUGUGCGUAAAGAGGCCGCUGGACACUUCAGUGUUGACUUGUAAAAUGAUUCGUCAUUGUGGCCUUGUGGUUCAAACACCUGAAGUCUUUACCUGCUCGUUGGUCCGGUCCUUUGGUCGCCACUCGAUCUGAAAUAGUUACAUUUCACUGUUAGAUAUCAAAUGUACUGUACAUACUACUACUGCUUAACUAUUCUGUUUCUACUCGUCAUUACAAAAGUAAUUCUUGUGGAAAUGUUGCUUUAGAGGUUUGUUUUUUAAAAAGUUGUUGUAUAUGUAAAUCAUCAUUACCUGAGCCAGAAGCUAAGUUCUCUCAUCAGUACGACGGUUCGGUUUUUGGGGCUUUGGCGUCGACGUUCGGAGACUCGGCUGUUUGGGAAAACGUCACGUGGACUCGGAGAAACGCACUUCGGCACGACUGUCGAAAAGAUUUACUAAAUAAAAACUGACAGACGAUGUCCGAAAGCUCAGCACUGUACACUCUUCUACAAUUCUUUCUCUUGCUUAGUGUGUGUCCAGUCAAACUCGUUCGUCUUUGGUGCCAUUCUUGUGCAUUGUGUCACUUAAAAUUUGAGGGAUGAUCUCGAACUCGGAUCAUCGUCACAGAGUUUUAAUGUGUGUGCGUGUUGGAACAAAAUAAAAUGUUGCAGUUA
Siniperca chuatsi (mandarin fish) is the source of this 8299-nucleotide RNA transcript. It is a transcript of the gene named protein tyrosine phosphatase receptor type O, with no coding region annotated. The transcript is spliced from 26 exons. The record is from RefSeq and is a predicted model, not a curated record. NCBI's taxonomy places the organism in Eukaryota, Metazoa, Chordata, Actinopteri, Centrarchiformes, Sinipercidae.